GGCUUCGACUUCAACCUGUGGAAGCGAGAUGUGCUUUGGCGCCAGUCGCCUCAUUUAUGCCAAAAAGCGUUUGUCUGAAUCAAAAAAACAAGAAUCAAAACUUUCAACAAAGGAUCUCUUGGCUCUUGCAUCGAUGAAGAACGCAGCGAAGCGCGAAAUGUAGUGUGAAUCGCAGAACAUUGUGAAUCAUCGAAUCUUUGAACGCACAUUGCGCCUCCCUUUGCGGGGAGGCAUGCCUGUCUGAGCGUCAUUUAACUCAUACCUUCUUGGUGUGUUGGGCCUCGCCCCAGCGGCGUAGCCUCAAAGUCAUUGGUCUAAAGGCGGACAAGAUCCAUUGGGACUAACCGUUUGGGACCAUAAACCUCUGACUUGGCCUCAGAUCAGGUAGGGCUACCGCCUGAACUUAAGCAUAUCA
RNAcentral lists this ribosomal RNA (415 nucleotides) under Ascomycota sp. TypeNJK. RNAcentral's name for it is "eukaryotic LSU rRNA". The stretch from base 99 to 250 matches the Rfam family "5.8S ribosomal RNA". Lineage: Eukaryota; Fungi; Ascomycota. The record is from RNAcentral.